Molecule: ribosomal RNA, 388 nt
Filed under: uncultured Prevotella sp.
Lineage: Bacteria; Pseudomonadati; Bacteroidota; Bacteroidia; Bacteroidales; Prevotellaceae
Description: bacterial SSU rRNA
Rfam family: Bacterial small subunit ribosomal RNA
Source: RNAcentral
GUGAGGAAUAUUGGUCAAUGGGCGAGAGCCUGAACCAGCCAAGUAGCGUGCAGGACGACGGCCCUAUGGGUUGUAAACUGCGUUUUGCGCGGGGAUAAAGUGCGCCACGUGUGGCUCACUGCAGGUACCGCGCGAAUAAGGACCGGCUAAUUCCGUGCCAGCAGCCGCGGUAAUACGGAAGGUCCGGGCGUUAUCCGGAUUCAUUGGGUUUAAAGGGAGCGCAGGCCGCCCCUUAAGCGUGUUGUGAAAAUGCCGCGGCUCAACCGUGGCACUGCAGCGCGAACUGUUCUCCUUGAGUGCGCAGGAAGUAGGCGGAAUUCGUCGUGUAGCGGUGAAAUGCUUAGAUAUGACGAAGAACUCCGAUUGGGAAGCCAGCUUACUGUAGCGC